RNAcentral lists this ribosomal RNA (440 nucleotides) under uncultured bacterium. Its description in RNAcentral is "partial 16S ribosomal RNA". It matches the Rfam family "Bacterial small subunit ribosomal RNA", at positions 338 to 795 of the family's 1533-position model. The record is from RNAcentral.
CCUACGGGGGGCAGCAGUGGGGAAUAUUGCACAAUGGGGGGAACCCUGAUGCAGCGACGCCGCGUGAAGGAAGAAGUAUUUCGGGAUGUAAACUUCUAUCAGCAGGGAAGAAAAUGACGGUACCUGACGAAGAAGCCCCGGCUAACUACGUGCCAGCAGCCGCGGUAAUACGUAGGGGGCAAGUGUUAUCCGGAUUUACUGGGUGGAAAGGGAGCGUAGGCGGCAGUGCAAGUCAGAAGUGAAAGCCAAAGGCUCAACCAUGGGACUGUUUUUGAAACUGUACAGCUAGAUUGCAGGAGAGGUAAGUGGAAUUCCUAGUGUAGCGGUGAAAUGCGUAGAUAUUAGGAGGAACACCAGUGGCGAAGGCGGCUUACUGGACUGUAACUGACGCUGAGGCUCGAAAGCGUGGGGAGCAAACAGGAUUAGAUACCCGGGUAGUC